Molecule: ribosomal RNA, 497 nt
Filed under: uncultured bacterium
Lineage: Bacteria
Description: partial 16S ribosomal RNA
Rfam family: Bacterial small subunit ribosomal RNA
Source: RNAcentral
GAUGAGCGCUGGCGGCGUGCCUAAUACAUGCAAGUCGAGCGAACGGACGAGAAGCUUGCUUCUCUGAUGUUAGCGGCGGACGGGCGAGUAACAAGUGGAUAACCUACCUAUAUGACUGGGAUAACUUCGGGAAACCGGAGAUAAUACCGGAUAAUAUUUUGAACCGCAUGGUUCAAAAGUGAAAGACGGUCUUGCUGUCACAUAUAGAUGGAUCCGCGCUGCAUUAGCUAGUUGGUAAGGUAACGGCUUACCAAGGCAACGAUGCAUAGCCGACCCGAGAGGGUGAUCGGCCACACUGGAACUGAGACACGGUCCAGACUCCUACGGGAGGCAGCAGUAGGGAAUCUUCCGCAAUGGGCGAAAGCCUGACGGAGCAACGCCGCGUGAGUGAUGAAGGUCUUCGGAUCGUAAAACUCUGUUAUUAGGAAAGAACAUAUGUGUAAGUAACUGUGCACAUCUUGACGGUACCUAAUCAGAAAGCCACGGCUAACUACGUG